AGAGUUUGAUCCUGGCUCAGGACGAACGCUGGCGGCAUGCCUAACACAUGCAAGUCGAACGGAGUUUAAUUGACAGAAGCCUUCGGGCAGAAGACGAUUAAACUUAGUGGCGGACGGGUGAGUAACGCGUGGAUAACCUGCCUUAUAGAGGGGGACAACAGUUGGAAACGACUGCUAAUACCGCAUAAGGUCUCGAGACCGCAUGAUCUUGAGAAGAAAGAUGGCCUCUGAAAAUGCUAUCGCUAUAAGAUGGAUCCGCGUCUGAUUAGCUAGUUGGUGAGGUAACGGCUCACCAAGGCAACGAUCAGUAGCCGGCCUGAGAGGGUGAACGGCCACAUUGGGACUGAGACACGGCCCAAACUCCUACGGGAGGCAGCAGUGGGGAAUCUUCCGCAAUGGGCGAAAGCCUGACGGAGCAAUGCCGCGUGAAUGAAGAAGGCCUUCGGGUCGUAAAAUUCUGUCCUUAUUGAAGAGAGGUUCAUGUGUAAACAAUGCAUGAAUAGGACGGUAGAUAAGGAGGAAGCCCCGGCUAACUACGUGCCAGCAGCCGCGGUAAUACGUAGGGGGCGAGCGUUGUCCGGAAUCACUGGGCGUAAAGGGCGCGUAGGCGGCCUAGUAAGUCAGAUGUGAAAAGUGAGGGCUCAACCCUUAGAGUGCAUCUGAUACUGCUAGGCUUGAGUACAGAAGAGGAAAGCGGAAUUCCUAGUGUAGCGGUGAAAUGCGUAGAUAUUAGGAGGAACACCAGUGGCGAAGGCGGCUUUCUGGGCUGAAACUGACGCUGAGGCGCGAAAGCGUGGGGAGCAAACAGGAUUAGAUACCCUGGUAGUCCACGCCGUAAACGAUGGGUACUAGGUGUCGGGGGUAUCGAUACCCUCGGUGCCGGAGUAAACACAAUAAGUACCCCGCCUGGGGAGUACGAUCGCAAGAUUGAAACUCAAAGGAAUUGACGGGGGCCCGCACAAGCGGUGGAGCAUGUGGUUUAAUUCGACGCAACGCGAAGAACCUUACCAAGACCUGACAUCCUGCUGACGGAUUGGGUAAUGCCGAUCGUUCUACUUCGGUAGACAGCAGAGACAGGUGGUGCAUGGUUGUCGUCGGCUCGUGUCGUGAGAUGUUGGGUUAAGUCCCGCAACGAGCGCAACCCUUGUCUUUAGUUGCCAGCAUUAAGUUGGGCACUCUAAAGAGACUGCCGGUGACAAACCGGAGGAAGGUGGGGAUGACGUCAAAUCAUCAUGCCCCUUAUGUCUUGGGCUACACACGUGCUACAAUGGUCGGUACAAAGGGCAGCGAGACCGCGAGGUGGAGCGAAUCCCAAAAAGCCGAUCCCGUUCGGAUUGCAGGCUGCAACCCGCCUGCAUGAAGUCGGAAUCGCUAGUAAUCGCAGGUCAGCAUACUGCGGUGAAUACGUUCCCGGGCCUUGUACACACCGCCCGUCACACCACGAGAGUUGGUAACACCCGAAGCCGGUGGUCUAACCGCAAGGAGGAAGCUGUCGAAGGUGGGACUAAUGAUUGGGGUGAAGUCGUAACAAGGUA
Molecule: ribosomal RNA, 1535 nt
Filed under: metagenome
Description: bacterial SSU rRNA
Rfam family: Bacterial small subunit ribosomal RNA
Source: RNAcentral